This 497-nucleotide ribosomal RNA is filed under the name uncultured bacterium. Its description in RNAcentral is "partial 16S ribosomal RNA". It matches the Rfam family "Bacterial small subunit ribosomal RNA", at positions 28 to 507 of the family's 1533-position model. The record is from RNAcentral.
GAUGAACGCUGGCGGCGUGCCUAAUACAUGCAAGUCGAGCGAACAGACGAGGAGCUUGCUCCUCUGACGUUAGCGGCGGACGGGUGAGUAACACGUGGAUAACCUACCUAUAAGACUGGGAUAACUUCGGGAAACCGGAGCUAAUACCGGAUAAUAUAUUGAACCGCAUGGUUCAAUAGUGAAAGACGGUUUUGCUGUCACUUAUAGAUGGAUCCGCGCCGCAUUAGCUAGUUGGUAAGGUAACGGCUUACCAAGGCAACGAUGCGUAGCCGACCUGAGAGGGGGAGGGGCCACACGGGAACUGAGACCCGGUCCAGCCUCCUCCGGGAGGCAGAGGUGGGGAUCUUUCCGAAGUGGGCGAAGGCCGGACGGAACCACGCCGGGGGGGGGGAAAGGGUCUUGGGAUCGUAAAACUUUUUUAUUGGGGAAGAACAAGUGUGUAAGAAAUUAUCCCCGUCUUGGCGAUACUUAAACAAAAGGCCCCGCCCACCUCCGUC